UACGUAGGGGGGCAAGCGUUGUCCGGAUUUAUUGGGCGUAAAGAGCUCGUAGGCGGACCUGCAAGUCGGGGGUGAAAGCCCGAGGCUCAACCUCGGAACUGCCUUCGAUACUGCGGGUCUCGAGUCCGGGAGAGGUGAGUGGAAUUCCUAGUGUAGAGGUGAAAUUCGUAGAUAUUAGGAAGAACACCAGUGGCGAAGGCGGCUCACUGGCCCGGUACUGACGGCUGAGGCGCGAAAGCGUGGGGAGCAAACAGG
This 255-nucleotide ribosomal RNA is filed under the name uncultured bacterium. RNAcentral describes it as "partial 16S ribosomal RNA". It matches the Rfam family "Bacterial small subunit ribosomal RNA", at positions 524 to 776 of the family's 1533-position model. The record is from RNAcentral.